Molecule: long non-coding RNA, 775 nt
Organism: Acanthopagrus latus (yellowfin seabream)
Lineage: Eukaryota; Metazoa; Chordata; Actinopteri; Spariformes; Sparidae
Exons: 4
Source: RefSeq, a predicted model, not a curated record
CCCCUGCAACUAUGGCGUAGAAGUUAAACUAAUUUUUUUCUUUGAGCCGCUGCAUUAUAGAUCACCUCUUUAGUGUGUUGGUCAGUCAGUCUCAUGGUCAGUUGGUCUUUCAGUCGCAUCGUCGUUCAGUCCCCAAUUUUUCCCAACUCUGUUGGAGCAGCUGUGGUUGUUGUUGUUGGAGCUGCUGUAUUUAUUGUUUGGAGAUCUGCCUCCACUGCAAGUAUGACGUAGAAGUUAAACUAAUUUUUAUCUUUGAGCCGCUGCAUUAUAGAUCACCUCUUUAGUGUGUUUGUCAGUCAGUCUCAUGGUCAGUUGGUCUUUCAUUCGUAUCGUCGUUCAUUACCCACUUUUUCCCCACUCUGGCCAGCCACAGUUAUGGCCGUCUGAGGCUGAUAUUUGGCCUGACUUUUAUUCUGAGAACAACUGAGUCAUUCUUGCAGCAUUCAUCUAAAGGUUUUAUCCAGAUAAGAGUUGACGGAAUAGACACAUCUACAUCUACAGACUGAAAGUAGGCUGUCAACUUUUUUGGAAAUGGCCCAGAAAAGACAGCAGGAGUCAGGAGCAGAGUAAAGAAAGAAGAAACUGGUCAGUGCUGAGAUAAGUACAAGGAGGAACACGUGGCCAAGAGGAAGAAACAGAUGAUGAGCAACCAUCGACAGACAGUUCAGGCACACAUCAACCCCAGUCGGCCAGCAGUUCUGUAGACUCCACAACAGUUCCAAGCCCUGAUCAACCACCCUCAACCAGCAGUUUAGGGACAGACACACAGCAGAGA